Hirundo rustica (Barn swallow) is the source of this 106-nucleotide small nuclear RNA. The record is from RefSeq and is a predicted model, not a curated record. NCBI's taxonomy places the organism in Eukaryota, Metazoa, Chordata, Aves, Passeriformes, Hirundinidae.
GCAUUUUUCACUUUGGUAGUACGUACACAAAAUUUGGAACAGUGCAGAGAUGAUUAGCAUGGCUAAUUAGGAUGACAUACAGAUUCAUGAAGGGUGACAAAUUUUU